CGGCGGACGGGUGAGUAACACGUGGAUAACCUACCUAUAAGACUGGGAUAACUUCGGGAAACCGGAGCUAAUACCGGAUAAUAUAUUGAACCGCAUGGUUCAAUAGUGAAAGACGGUUUUGCUGUCACUUAUAGAUGGAUCCGCGCCGCAUUAGCUAGGUGGUAAGGUAACGGCUUACCAAGGCAACGAUGCGUAGCCGACCUGAGAGGGUGAUCGGCCACACUGGAACUGAGACACGGUCCAG
This 244-nucleotide ribosomal RNA is filed under the name uncultured Staphylococcus sp. RNAcentral describes it as "partial 16S ribosomal RNA". It matches the Rfam family "Bacterial small subunit ribosomal RNA", at positions 96 to 334 of the family's 1533-position model. The record is from RNAcentral. Lineage: Bacteria; Bacillati; Bacillota; Bacilli; Caryophanales; Staphylococcaceae.